AGUGAACGCUGGCGGUAGGCCUAACACAUGCAAGUCGAACGGCAGCACAGUAGGAGCUUGCUCUUACGGGUGGCGAGUGGCGGACGGGUGGGGAAUACAUCGGAAUCUACUUUUUCGUGGGGGAUAACGUAGGGAAACUUACGCUAAUACCGCAUACGACCUACGGGUGAAAGCAGGGGAUCUUCGGACCUUGCGCGAUUGAAUGAGCCGAUGUCGGAUUAGCUAGUUGGCGGGGUAAAGGCCCACCAAGGCGACGAUCCGUAGCUGGUCUGAGAGGAUGAUCAGCCACACUGGAACUGAGACACGGUCCAGACUCCUACGGGAGGCAGCAGUGGGGAAUAUUGGACAAUGGGCGCAAGCCUGAUCCAGCCAUACCGCGUGGGUGAAGAAGGCCUUCGGGUUGUAAAGCCCUUUUGUUGGGAAAGAAAAGCAGCAGGUUAAUACCCCGCUGUUCUGACGGUACCCAAAGAAUAAGCAUCGGCUAACUUCGUG
RNAcentral lists this ribosomal RNA (492 nucleotides) under uncultured bacterium. RNAcentral describes it as "partial 16S ribosomal RNA". It matches the Rfam family "Bacterial small subunit ribosomal RNA", at positions 29 to 507 of the family's 1533-position model. The record is from RNAcentral.